UUUGAGACAAGCCUCACUCCGUUGCCCUGGAGUGCAGUGGUGUGAUGACUGAGGCUCACUACAGCUUGGAUCUCCCAGGCUCAGGUGAUCCUCCCACCUCAGCCUCACACAGGUGCACACCACCACACCCAGCUACUUUUUUGUAUUUUUUUUGUAGAGAGAGGGUCUUGCCAUGUUGCCCAGGCUGGUCUCAAACUCUUGCGCUCAAGUGAUCUGCCUGCCUUGGCCUCCCAGAGUCCUGGGAUUACAGCUCCGACUCAGAUUUUGAACGGAUGUUUGUUAUGUAUACCACAGUGCUACAUUAAAAACGAGUCAUGUGGAUGUGGAGAAGGGUGCUGAUCAGGACUCCCUGUUUGCUAACAAAUUCUACAGCAGAAACAAAGUAUUAAGGUUUGCAGCCAGGAAGCAAGUGCAUGGGGAAUAAGCCUGCAGCUUCUUCCAAAUGAGACACAGCCAAAUCUUUUUUGAGUCUGUUUUCUUCAUUUCUAUUAAACCAAGGUCCUUUUUAAGCAGUCGAAUUUUCAUCCAAAGCCACAGUGAGCUACUUUGUUUGGGGGAACAGUAACAGUUACCUCCACCACUGACUGGCUGCCAUCUGGAUUGAUCCGGAAAGAUCCCAUCUGAAUGGUCUUCUUGGGGUCCACCUGGGCAAUUUCCCAUUCUAGUUCAUCCACCAGAGCCCUGCAUGCUGGUGGAAGAGGAGAGAAUGAGAGCAGGGGACAGGGUAGGGGGUAGGGUAUGAGGAGAAUGGGAUCAACCCAGGAUUUCCAUUCAUCCUUCUCCCAGGCCUUGGAUCUCAUGCCCUCCCAAAGCUCUGCUUCCUCCACUUCUUUUUCCCGUUGUGCCUUUACCUCCACAGUGGAGAUCCUGGCUCCUCCGAGCCCAGGCAGUUCCCAGCAGGGCCCCCAGAAGCAGGGCCAGCCAACCCCAGCCUUUCAUCUUUAGUGUAAUGGGGUCGCUCCACCUGGGUUUGUGUGGGAAUAAAACAUAAGUGUGAGAAGCCCACUCUAUUUUUCCCUGACCCACCCACUCCUUACCCCAAGGCUUUCUAAAGGGCUCACUGUGACUCUGGCUCUACUUUCCAGGAAAUGGCCGGGACACAAAGGGGCUCCUCUGUUCCAGCACUUGAGGGCUCUGAUUCCCCCAGGGUGGUGGGUGGGAGCGCGAGCUCAGGACUUGGGGCUCAGCCCCAGACUCUACGUGGAUAGGUGAGGCCCUAAGUGUUGGUACUUUAGCACUGCAUGCCUAGGGUUCACGGGGCUUUGUGGCAGCUACAGGAGGUAAACUGGCGAUUACGUGAGGACUACAGGCACUAGGGAACUGCCGGCAGGGAGCCCUCAGUCAGGCCAGGAGGCCAGGGAGGACAGCAAUAACUAGGGCCCAUUUGGAUCCUGCACCGAAGAUUCCUGCGUCCCCACCUCCAGCCCGUAAGUGAUUACCCGUACGGACCCCAGCCCCCUUUCUAAGGACUCCGCCAUUGCUUUCGCUUCAGUCCAUCCCCAACCCUCAGCGCCCAGCGCCUCGCCGCCCGCGUCCGUCCCACCUCUGCUCCCAGGGCCGCCGCCGUGGCCCAAGCGCUGGAAGACCGCUGGACUCUCACUUUGGCCCCAGUGGCUCCCGAAACUACACCUGGCUGCAGGGAGCAGGGCUGUCCGGGAUUCUCCAGAGCGCUUCACCGCCUGCCACACACGGGGUGUCCCGGCGACCGCCUGACCCAGCUCCCCUGGCGCUAACCGGUACCUAAGCGGGGCUCCAGCGUGCUGCGGUGCGAGCCCCAAUCAGACACCGACCCCAAACCCGCCCCUCCAAACUCUCGCGCGAACAGGCAGCUUAGGAGAGGCUCCCGGACAGCAAGGACCCCGGUCAAUCGCCGAAGGACCCAGACUUGCGUGGCGACCAGCUCCACGUGACCACCAGGGGUCAGCCGUAGAAUAGGAGUGGCCUUAAGCGACGACAGAGCCUGGACGUGCUGUAUGGGAGCGGCUAGUCGUGCGCGUGAGCCAGCCCAGGUGGGCUAGGACCUUCAAAACGGUGCGCUGCAGGCCAGCGAGCAGCCCAGGUUUCAAUACACAGGAAACUACAACUCCCAGGAAGCACCGCAGCACCAGCCCCAUCUCUGUGAGCAACUACAGGUCUUAAGCUAUCCUGGGACCUGUAGUUUGUCGGCUUACACAAUUAACGGAAACCAUACUGUACAUCUUCAGUCUGACUUAGGGUACUAAGCAGCUAUAGCAAAGAUCCAGCAUUGCCCAGAAAAGGCAUAAAUUAUACCUUUUUCCUUUUUUUUUUUUUUUUUUUUGAGACGGAGUCUCGCUCUGUCGCCCAGGCAGGAGACGGAGUCUCGCUCUGUCGCCCAGGCUGGAGACGGAGUCUCGCCCUAUCGCCCAGGCUGGCAUACAGUGGCGUGAUCUUGGCUCACUGCAACCUCCGCCUCCCAGGUUGGAGCAAUUCUCUGCCUCAGCGAGGGUUACAGUCGCCAUCCACCACACCCGGCUAAUUUGUGUAUACUAAGAGACGGGGUUUCACCAUCUUGGUCAGGCUGAUCUUGAACUCCUGACCUCGUGAUCCACCCACCUCGGCCUCCCAAAGUGCUGGGAUUACAGAAGUGAGCCACCGCGCCAGGCCUAAUUACAUCCUUUCAUAUCCAUAACUUUGGAUUCUGGACCUUUACCUUCAAAGGAAGGAGAGGAAGACUGAAGCCAGAGAACCCACACUAGCAGUUCUCUAAUGAGAUAAAUGACAAACGAUAUUUUGUUUUUAUUUUAUAAAACAUGCAGUUUACAACAAAUUUUUAAAAAAUGGAACUUGGGACAGGAGGGUGGGAUGGAAGACAGAUGCUUCUCAGCCAUCAGCAGGAAUAAAUGAAGCCGGCAGCCAAGCUUUGUCCAGGAUCCAAAGGCCCUUUCGGCAAUGGUAUUGGCAACAUUGGUUUGCUUGGGCCACCAACACUCUACUUGCCGGCCCCUCCAGGUAUCCCUGAAGCAGUUGGUGACUUGUGCUAAGUCUUGAACUACUGUGGUAUCAUCUGUCACUGUCCAGGACUUCAAUCCCUAGCCAGCUAGGAACUUACAGUUAUGGUUCCAGGAGCUUCUCUGUCUGGAUAUUAGUCACCCAAGAUAUUAAGAAUACCAAUUACUUUCCAUCUGGGUCAAUUCUAGACUCCAUGUCUGUACCACUGUUUUGCAAAGAAUGAAGAAGGAAUGACUCUGGCUCCUAGAACCUUUGCAACAAUUCUGCUGUGUUCCAGUUCAAUUAAUAGCACCAUCUGUGACUCUAGACCCUGAGCACGUCCAGUACUGGAAGUGGACAAGGUAUAGCCAACUUAGGAAGCCAUCUCCCAGUUCUGAGGCUAUAGAACAGUAAAGGGAGAGGGCAGUGGUUCUUUGGGAAGGGUAGUCAGAGCGCCAGCACUGAGGAGAAGACAGCUGCAUCUGUCAGAGACAAAACCAAAAGCAUGAUUCAAGCUGAGUGGAGAAAAAGCAUCUUCUCAUACUUCCUAUGAAGGAAAAAUGCAAGACAAAAAAGGGCAUGGACCUUCCCUGGACAUUUUAGACUUGGGCAAGAGGAAGUUAUAGUUAAUGGAGAGUUUCAAUAAAAUGUAUUUUAUUGAAUGUUA
This is a long non-coding RNA of Symphalangus syndactylus (siamang), 3616 nucleotides long. RefSeq lists it as uncharacterized. The record is from RefSeq and is a predicted model, not a curated record. NCBI's taxonomy places the organism in Eukaryota, Metazoa, Chordata, Mammalia, Primates, Hylobatidae.